UGCUUAACACAUGCAAGUCGAACGGAGCACCCUUGACUGAGGUUUCGGCCAAAUGAUAGGAAUGCUUAGUGGCGGACUGGUGAGUAACGCGUGAGGAACCUGCCUUCCAGGAGGGGGACAACAGUUAGGAAACGACUGCUAAAUACCGCAUGAUAUAUUUGGAGGGGCACUCCCGUUGGAUAUACAAAGUAUUUAUCGCUGGAAGAUGGCCUCGCGUCUGAUUAGCUAGUAGGCGGGGACGGCCCACCUAGGCGACGAUCAGUAGCCGGACUGAGAGGUUGACCGGCCACAUUGGGACUGAGAUACGGCCCAGACUCCUACGGGAGGCAGCAGUGGGGAAUAUUGGGCAAUGGGCGCAAGCCUGACCCAGCAACGCCGCGUGAAGGAAGAAGGCUUUCGGGUUGUAAACUUCUUUUGUCAGGGAACAGUAGAAGAGGGUACCUGACGAAUAAGCCACGGCUAACUACGUGCCAGCAGCCGCGGUAA
RNAcentral lists this ribosomal RNA (486 nucleotides) under uncultured bacterium. Its description in RNAcentral is "bacterial SSU rRNA". It matches the Rfam family "Bacterial small subunit ribosomal RNA", at positions 45 to 523 of the family's 1533-position model. The record is from RNAcentral.